Ribosomal RNA from Clostridium oryzae, 84 nucleotides. It matches the Rfam family "Bacterial large subunit ribosomal RNA", at positions 2841 to 2925 of the family's 2925-position model. NCBI's taxonomy places the organism in Bacteria, Bacillati, Bacillota, Clostridia, Eubacteriales, Clostridiaceae. The record is from Rfam.
AAGAACAUCAGGUAGAUAGGUUAGAGGUGUAAGUGCAGUAAUGUAUUAAGCUGACUAAUACUAAUAGGUCGAGGGCUUGACCAA